AGCAGUCGCCGCGGUAAUACGUAUGUCACAAGCGUUAUCCGGAUUUAUUGGGCGUAAAGCGCGUCUAGGUGGCUAUGUAAGUCUGAUGUGAAAAUGCAGGGCUCAACUCUGUAUUGCGUUGGAAACUGUGUAACUAGAGUACUGGAGAGGUAAGCGGAACUACAAGUGUAGAGGUGAAAUUCGUAGAUAUUUGUAGGAAUGCCGAUGGGGAAGCCAGCUUACUGGACAGAUACUGACGCUAAAGCGCGAAAGCGUGGGUAGCAAACGGGAUUAGAUACCCCCGUAGUCCCUGUCUCUUAUACA
Molecule: ribosomal RNA, 303 nt
Filed under: uncultured bacterium
Lineage: Bacteria
Description: partial 16S ribosomal RNA
Rfam family: Bacterial small subunit ribosomal RNA
Source: RNAcentral